GGUUGAACCAACAUGUCAGUAUUAUCUAAUGAAAACGCCUCCGUGUAAUGUUCUGUGGUGAUCGGCGAGAGACCAGUGAUUAUUUCAGAAUUCUCCAUCUACGGAACCGGAUAAGACGAUCACGGUGUAAUAGCGAACACAUCAAUAUUACACUACUAGAAAAAGUGUUCAAAAUCUAAAGUUUGAACAUAAAAUAGUUAAAGUGUUCUGCAAAAUAGAGCGGUAAAUGAAAAACACGUGUCCGAGUAGAGCAAACGUUGAUACAAACGUGAAGAUAUGCGAGAUAUGGCUUAGUUGACGAUUUUAUUGAUGAACGACAUGAUAACUAUUGCGAUUCAAAGAUUCUUUAAGAACGGAAUUUAAUAAGCAAAGUAUUGAUUAAAAAUAAGAAUAUU
This is a long non-coding RNA of Danaus plexippus (monarch butterfly), 395 nucleotides long. RefSeq lists it as uncharacterized. Lineage: Eukaryota; Metazoa; Arthropoda; Insecta; Lepidoptera; Nymphalidae. The record is from RefSeq and is a predicted model, not a curated record. The transcript has 2 exons.